RNAcentral lists this non-coding RNA (30 nucleotides) under Mus musculus (house mouse). Lineage: Eukaryota; Metazoa; Chordata; Mammalia; Rodentia; Muridae. The record is from RNAcentral.
UCACAUUCAUCACAACAUAGUAAGUUUCCA